This 388-nucleotide unclassified non-coding RNA is filed under the name uncultured Verrucomicrobiae bacterium. RNAcentral's name for it is "contains 16S-23S intergenic spacer region". Lineage: Bacteria; Pseudomonadati; Verrucomicrobiota; Verrucomicrobiia. The record is from RNAcentral.
UCCUCGUUUAAGCGAGGCAGUCUGUCCAGAGUGCUCCAGUCUCUCGACCGGGUGGCAACAGGACACAAGGGUUGCGCUCGUUGCGGGACUUAACCCAACAUCUCACGACACGAGCUGACGACAGCCAUGCAGCACCUGUGCACGCUCCCCUUGCGGGGUCGUUACGCUUUCACGCUCCUACUACGUGCAUGUCAAGGCCAGGUAAGGUUCUUCGCGUUGCAUCGAAUUAAGCCACAUACUCCACCGCUUGUGCAGGCCCCCGUCAAUUUCUUUGAGUUUUAAUCUUGCGACCGUACUCCCCAGGCGGCACGUUUAUCGCGUUAGCUGCGGCACGGAAUCCGUAGAAAGGAUCCCACACCUAGCGCUCAUCGUUUACGGCGUAGACUAC